UGUGAACAUGCACACCUAGUGCAUCCACUCUGGGUAGUAAUUCCUGAGGCUAAACUGUGGGGCCAGGCCAAGGCUGAGAAGAGGCCAGGAAGUGGAUACUGGGAUCAUCCUACAGCUAAAACCAACUUUCCAUGACCAGGAACUCACAGUGGGUUAAAGGUGAAAGGUGAAGAGGCAGAGAUAAAGAGAUUGAACUUGAUCAGCAUGAUCAAAAGGGAA
RNAcentral lists this long non-coding RNA (219 nucleotides) under Sarcophilus harrisii (Tasmanian devil). Its description in RNAcentral is "lncRNA (ENSSHAG00000022493.1)". Lineage: Eukaryota; Metazoa; Chordata; Mammalia; Dasyuromorphia; Dasyuridae. The record is from RNAcentral.